AACACGGAUCAAACCGCGAACUUUUAAACCUUUGACGAUUGACUCAUGUUGCCUCGGCGGGUUCUCCCGCCAGAGGAUACAUCAAAACUCCUGUUUUAACGGUGUUGUCUGAGCUACAAGCAACGAAUCAAAACUUUCAACAACGGAUCUCUUGGUUCUGGCAUCGAUGAAGAACGCAGCGAAAUGCGAUAAGUAGUGUGAAUUGCAGAAUUCAGUGAAUCAUCGAAUCUUUGAACGCACAUUGCGCCCCUUGGUAUCCCGAGGGGCAUGCCUGUUCGAGCGUCAUUUCACCACUCAAGCCUGGCUUGGUGUUGGGCGACGUCCCCUUUAGGGACGCGCCUUGAAACGCUCGGCGGCGUGGCACCGGCUUUAAGCGUAGCAGAAUCUUUCGCUUUGAAAGUCGGGGCCCCGUCUGCCGGAAGACCUACUCGCAAGGUUGACCUCGGAUCAGGCAGGGAUACCCGCUGAACUUAAGCAUAUCAAUAAGCG
Molecule: ribosomal RNA, 489 nt
Filed under: Cenococcum geophilum
Lineage: Eukaryota; Fungi; Ascomycota; Dothideomycetes; Gloniales; Gloniaceae
Description: eukaryotic LSU rRNA
Rfam family: 5.8S ribosomal RNA (bases 132-285)
Source: RNAcentral